This 447-nucleotide ribosomal RNA is filed under the name uncultured bacterium. Its description in RNAcentral is "bacterial SSU rRNA". It matches the Rfam family "Bacterial small subunit ribosomal RNA", at positions 330 to 794 of the family's 1533-position model. The record is from RNAcentral.
ACCAGACUCCUACGGGAGGCAGCAGUGGGGAAUAUUGCACAAUGGGGGAAACCCUGAUGCAGCGACGCCGCGUGAGUGAAGAAGUAUUUCGGUAUGUAAAGCUCUAUCAGCAGGGAAGAAAAUGACGGUACCUGAUUAAGAAGCCCCGGCUAACUACGUGCCAGCAGCCGCGGUAAUACGUAGGGGGCAAGCGUUAUCCGGAAUCACUGGGUGUAAAGGGAGCGUAGACGGCUGAGCAAGCCUGAAGUGAAAGGCGGGGGCCCAACCCCCGGACUGCUUUGGGAACUGUACGGCUGGAGUGCAGGAGAGGUAAGUGGAAUUCCUAGUGUAGCGGUGAAAUGCGUAGAUAUUAGGAGGAACACCAGUGGCGAAGGCGGCUUACUGGACUGUAACUGACGUUGAGGCUCGAAAGCGUGGGGAGCAAACAGGAUUAGAUACCCUGGUAAA